GGAUAACUACUGGAAACGGUGGCUAAUACCGCAUAACGUCGCAAGACCAAAGAGGGGGACCUUCGGGCCUCUUGCCAUCAGAUGUGCCCAGAUGGGAUUAGCUUGUUGGUGAGGUAACGGCUCACCAAGGCGACGAUCCCUAGCUGGUCUGAGAGGAUGACCAGCCACACUGGAACUGAGACACGGUCCAGACUCCUACGGGAGGCAGCAGUGGGGAAUAUUGCACAAUGGGCGCAAGCCUGAUGCAGCCAUGCCGCGUGUAUGAAGAAGGCCUUCGGGUUGUAAAGUACUUUCAGCGGGGAGGAAGGUGUUGUGGUUAAUAACCGCAGCAAUUGACGUUACCCGCAGAAGAAGCACCGGCUAACUCCGUGCCAGCAGCCGCGGUAAUACGGAGGGUGCAAGCGUUAAUCGGAAUUACUGGGCGUAAAGCGCACGCAGGCGGUCUGUCAAGUCGGAUGUGAAAUCCCCGGGCUCAACCUGGGAACUGCAUUCGAAACUGGCAGGCUUGAGUCUUGUAGAGGGGGGUAGAAUUCCAGGUGUAGCGGUGAAAUGCGUAGAGAUCUGGAGGAAUACCGGUGGCGAAGGCGGCCCCCUGGACAAAGACU
This 605-nucleotide ribosomal RNA is filed under the name Listeria monocytogenes. RNAcentral's name for it is "bacterial SSU rRNA". It matches the Rfam family "Bacterial small subunit ribosomal RNA", at positions 141 to 741 of the family's 1533-position model. Lineage: Bacteria; Bacillati; Bacillota; Bacilli; Caryophanales; Listeriaceae. The record is from RNAcentral.